This 393-nucleotide ribosomal RNA is filed under the name uncultured bacterium. Its description in RNAcentral is "partial 16S ribosomal RNA". It matches the Rfam family "Bacterial small subunit ribosomal RNA", at positions 523 to 918 of the family's 1533-position model. The record is from RNAcentral.
AUACGGAGGAUCCGAGCGUUAUCCGGAUUUAUUGGGUUUAAAGGGAGCGUAGGCGGACGCUUAAGUCAGUUGUGAAAGUUUGCGGCUCAACCGUAAAAUUGCAGUUGAUACUGGGUGUCUUGAGUACAGUAGAGGCAGGCGGAAUUCGUGGGGUAGCGGUGAAAUGCUUAGAUAUCACGAAGAACUCCGAUUGCGAAGGCAGCCCCCUGGACUGUAACUGACGCUGAUGCUCGAAAGUGUGGGUAUCAAACAGGAUUAGAUACCCUGGUAGUACACACAGUAAACGAUGAAUACCCGCUGUUUGCGAUAUACAGUAAGCGGCCAAGCGAAAGCGUUAAGUAUUCCACCUGGGGAGUACGCCGGCAACGGUGAAACUCAAAUGAAUUGACGGGG